UUGCAUUUGGUCUAGUGGUACGAUUUUUGCUUAGGGUGUGAGAGGUCUCCAGUUCAAUUUUGGAAAUGCCCC
RNAcentral lists this transfer RNA (72 nucleotides) under Zingiber officinale. RNAcentral describes it as "tRNA-Pro". The record is from RNAcentral. Lineage: Eukaryota; Viridiplantae; Streptophyta; Magnoliopsida; Zingiberales; Zingiberaceae.